RNAcentral lists this ribosomal RNA (1541 nucleotides) under Escherichia coli. RNAcentral's name for it is "bacterial SSU rRNA". It matches the Rfam family "Bacterial small subunit ribosomal RNA". The record is from RNAcentral. Lineage: Bacteria; Pseudomonadati; Pseudomonadota; Gammaproteobacteria; Enterobacterales; Enterobacteriaceae.
AAAUUGAAGAGUUUGAUCAUGGCUCAGAUUGAACGCUGGCGACAGGCCUAACACAUGCAAGUCGAACGGUAACAGGAAGCAGCUUGCUGCUUUGCUGACGAGUGGCGGACGGGUGAGUAAUGUCUGGGAAACUGCCUGAUGGAGGGGGAUAACUACUGGAAACGGUAGCUAAUACCGCAUAACGUCGCAAGACCAAAGAGGGGGACCUUCGGGCCUCUUGCCAUCGGAUGUGCCCAGAUGGGAUUAGCUAGUAGGUGGGGUAACGGCUCACCUAGGCGACGAUCCCUAGCUGGUCUGAGAGGAUGACCAGCCACACUGGAACUGAGACACGGUCCAGACUCCUACGGGAGGCAGCAGUGGGGAAUAUUGCACAAUGGGCGCAAGCCUGAUGCAGCCAUGCCGCGUGUAUGAAGAAGGCCUUCGGGUUGUAAAGUACUUUCAGCGGGGAGGAAGGGAGUAAAGUUAAUACCUUUGCUCAUUGACGUUACCCGCAGAAGAAGCACCGGCUAACUCCGUGCCAGCAGCCGCGGUAAUACGGAGGGUGCAAGCGUUAAUCGGAAUUACUGGGCGUAAAGCGCACGCAGGCGGUUUGUUAAGUCAGAUGUGAAAUCCCCGGGCUCAACCUGGGAACUGCAUCUGAUACUGGCAAGCUUGAGUCUCGUAGAGGGGGGUAGAAUUCCAGGUGUAGCGGUGAAAUGCGUAGAGAUCUGGAGGAAUACCGGUGGCGAAGGCGGCCCCCUGGACGAAGACUGACGCUCAGGUGCGAAAGCGUGGGGAGCAAACAGGAUUAGAUACCCUGGUAGUCCACGCCGUAAACGAUGUCGACUUGGAGGUUGUGCCCUUGAGGCGUGGCUUCCGGAGCUAACGCGUUAAGUCGACCGCCUGGGGAGUACGGCCGCAAGGUUAAAACUCAAAUGAAUUGACGGGGGCCCGCACAAGCGGUGGAGCAUGUGGUUUAAUUCGAUGCAACGCGAAGAACCUUACCUGGUCUUGACAUCCACGGAAGUUUUCAGAGAUGAGAAUGUGCCUUCGGGAACCGUGAGACAGGUGCUGCAUGGCUGUCGUCAGCUCGUGUUGUGAAAUGUUGGGUUAAGUCCCGCAACGAGCGCAACCCUUAUCCUUUGUUGCCAGCGGUCCGGCCGGGAACUCAAAGGAGACUGCCAGUGAUAAACUGGAGGAAGGUGGGGAUGACGUCAAGUCAUCAUGGCCCUUACGACCAGGGCUACACACGUGCUACAAUGGCGCAUACAAAGAGAAGCGACCUCGCGAGAGCAAGCGGACCUCAUAAAGUGCGUCGUAGUCCGGAUUGGAGUCUGCAACUCGACUCCAUGAAGUCGGAAUCGCUAGUAAUCGUGGAUCAGAAUGCCACGGUGAAUACGUUCCCGGGCCUUGUACACACCGCCCGUCACACCAUGGGAGUGGGUUGCAAAAGAAGUAGGUAGCUUAACCUUCGGGAGGGCGCUUACCACUUUGUGAUUCAUGACUGGGGUGAAGUCGUAACAAGGUAACCGUAGGGGAACCUGCGGUUGGAUCACCUCCUU